This is a long non-coding RNA of Cydia strobilella, 226 nucleotides long. RefSeq lists it as uncharacterized. The transcript is spliced from 2 exons. NCBI's taxonomy places the organism in Eukaryota, Metazoa, Arthropoda, Insecta, Lepidoptera, Tortricidae. The record is from RefSeq and is a predicted model, not a curated record.
UAUACCUAUACUCUGUAUCUUUAGGUAUUUAAAUAAAAGUAAUCAAACAAUUUGUACAUUUUCGGGUAGUUAUAACAUUUAUUGGUUAUCCAACCAAAUAUAAAACCGCCUGGAUCUGUCACCGAACAACCUGACUUUAACCUACAUGAUUUGAUCAUGUGAUGUUAUCAUCUACCCUCAACUGACUUAAGGAGCCAUUUGAGGGUAGAUUUUGUUUACUUUUAUU